AUUAUUGCUAUGAUUAGGAGUAGUACUAUACACUUGUAAUUUUAGAGAGCUGCUGUUUUGGUGUAAAGCAGUAUUACAAAUAUAGGAACUUGUCUAUAAGCUUACUUGAGAUAAUAAUCAAGUACGGUUUUAACCGUUAAAUUAUUGAGUGAGGAAAUUUCACAAUUUGAGAUUUUCUAACAAGAGUGGUAACGCGGAAGUAUCCUUUCGUCUCUUAU
This 218-nucleotide non-coding RNA is filed under the name Clostridium baratii. RNAcentral's name for it is "T-box sequence". It matches the Rfam family "T-box leader". From Rfam's summary of the family: Uncharged tRNA acts as the effector for transcription antitermination of genes in the T-box leader family. T-boxes are found upstream of many aminoacyl-tRNA synthetase genes and some amino acid biosynthetic genes usually in Gram-positive bacteria. Lineage: Bacteria; Bacillati; Bacillota; Clostridia; Eubacteriales; Clostridiaceae. The record is from RNAcentral.